This 245-nucleotide ribosomal RNA is filed under the name Dictyocoela roeselum. Its description in RNAcentral is "partial small subunit ribosomal RNA". It matches the Rfam family "Microsporidia small subunit ribosomal RNA", at positions 55 to 256 of the family's 1311-position model. Lineage: Eukaryota; Fungi; Microsporidia. The record is from RNAcentral.
UGUGUAAGCGAAGCGAUAUGUGGAGCGGUGAAAGGCUCAGUAACGGGCGAUUUAUUUGAUCUCCUGGGACGGACAACAUCGGGAAACUGAUGGGAAAACGUCUAAGUUGCAGUUUUUUGAUUGUGACGUAAACCUUUGUGUGCAGGAGAGUAAGAUGCCAUCCUAUCAGUUAGUAAGUAGGGUAAGGGCCUACUUAGACGAAGACGGGUACGGGGAAUGAGGGUUUGAUUCCGGAGAGGGAGCCU